CAUAUACUCCCCCCGUCCCUAAAUUCUUGUCUUAGAUUUAUCUAGAUACAGAUGUAUCUAACACUAAAAUGUGAAUAGAUACAUCCGUAUGUACACAAAUCUAAGACAAGAAUUUUGGGACGGAGGGACCGGAGU
Triticum aestivum (bread wheat) is the source of this 135-nucleotide non-coding RNA. Lineage: Eukaryota; Viridiplantae; Streptophyta; Magnoliopsida; Poales; Poaceae. The record is from Rfam.